Molecule: long non-coding RNA, 463 nt
Filed under: Homo sapiens (human)
Lineage: Eukaryota; Metazoa; Chordata; Mammalia; Primates; Hominidae
Description: non-protein coding lnc-PCP4-3:1
Source: RNAcentral
UCCGCUUUAUUCAUCCAGCCAACAAACACCUGUGACAUAGCUCCUCUUUUUGGGACACUCCCUUUUUGAAUUCUGUUGUUCCUCAUACAUCACACCACCUGCUAACCACAGUUAACAUUUCCUACCAGCCACAGAGGCCUAUCAGUGCUCUCUGCCAAGGACCACACAAGGGCAUUCGGGCUUUGCUUCCUAUGAAUCAACUCUGAGGGCUGGCCUCUGGGAAUACCCCCACCUAGCUCCCGCGCCCAACAAUGGGGACCUAGAGGGUGCACUCUGAUGCAAAAGAGGGGGUAUGCUAGUCUGUGAGCCUGAGGCUGGGCCCCAACUAUUUAGCGGUGGCUGAGUGAACCCAAAGGGCUUUGGCCCACCACACACGCCUGGAGGGCCCAACCCAGAGUAGCCCCUCUGCAGGUAAUGGAGGCCCUGUAACGGCAGUGUGGCCAAGGAGGGCAGGGCAGGGGCC